This is a long non-coding RNA of Mytilus californianus (California mussel), 657 nucleotides long. RefSeq lists it as uncharacterized. The record is from RefSeq and is a predicted model, not a curated record. NCBI's taxonomy places the organism in Eukaryota, Metazoa, Mollusca, Bivalvia, Mytilida, Mytilidae. The transcript has 2 exons.
GGACAGUUGUUUGGACUUUCGCUAACUUAAAAUACACCUUAAAUAUUAAAAACGAAUCUUCAGAUUAUAACAUUUUAAAGAAUUUUAUUAAUUUUGAAAAUGUUUUCUUUUCAUUUUCCCCGUGUUGUACCCAAGAAUCCGCAGUUAAAAUUAAUGAUCAAGCUGACCAUCUACUCACUUAACGAAGUAUUUAUGAACAGAAGAAUAAUUACUUUAAAAAUAUCUUGAAUAAAGUUCAUUCAUAUUUAUGUUUAAAGUCAUUGGAUACGCACGUCUUUCUUGUAGUGGGAUGGAAAGGAUAUUUAUUUGUGUCUUUAAGUGGUGUUUCGGGAGAGUAAAAGAAAAACUAGUAUUUAUGCAUAUAUGUUAAUGGAUUAUAUGUAUUUUCGUUCGAUAAAUAUUGGAUAUAGAAUCGUCUGAGAAAAGUGAAAUGGUACAACUAGAAUGAAUUUCCAGAUGCACAGAACAUGCAGAAGAGGAAUGGGACUCAAUGGAAAAUAUUCGUUUUUACCCACUUGGAUACUAUCCGUGACAAAAUUUCAGCCAAGAUUUGCAUCGGAAAACAAAUUGUGAAUUAUAUUGUUGAAUUUUAGUGAAUACGAUACUAUAAUUUACAAGAUAGAAUAACGACUCGCAAAUAAAAGCUGUUUUUUUUUU